GCUUGGCCAUACUGACAGAGAUCAAUUUGUGUUCGCUGCUCCUCACCCAACACCCGCUAUAGUAUUCCCUCAUGUAGCAGCGACAUGGUGGCUAGAACAGUGAAGAUUCAAUAGCUCAGACGAAACAUCAGUCGAGAGAGAGAUGUGAAAAAAAACGGUAAGAGUGAUGGACAUUGCCAACAGCAGUACCGUUCACAUAUUACCAAGCGAUCCAGAUCGGAAGCACAGAAAGCACGCUGGGAGAACAACUCACAGUGAUGGCUAUCACGGACAACAAAACAAUACACGGAUCUCGCUCAACUGCUCAGAAAGCACGCCAAAGUAGGAUAGCACAACAGCGCCAGGAGGAGAAGGAUGAGAACUAGAUGAUUACAGAAUAUUCAAGGAGAAGAUGAUAUAGUAAGAUGAUGCAUAAAGAAGAGAAAGUUGAGAAGUCAUUCGCACAUUGCCACCCAAGUUUCCCGGGGAAGGAUGGAAAAGGCAAAGCAAGGGAGAUCACAAAUUGAAGAAUGCAUUAGGAAACUUCAUUGAGAUGGUCAGGUACCUGAAAAGUUUCAAGGUGUGGGGAACUUCUACGGUAACUUAGUCCUCUUUUUGUGGGUUCAUACUUGGUUUAGCUAUCAUCUAGGAAUUUGUGCUUUGGGGAGGGGAAUCAUGUUAUGGGACUGUUUUUGGUGCCUAAGAGCAACCACAAUCACGACCAAAUUUGGAGACUAUAACCAAAUUUGGUCCGAAAGUGAAGCACAAUGGGAUGGACUAAAGCUAAAUUUGGUAUGGUUUUCUAGGGUUUGAGACUAAAUGUAGUCGCCGAUCAGACUAUAACUGAAUUUAAUGGGGCGUAGGUAUAAUGAGCGUUGUAGGUUAGGCGUGAAUAUAAUGAGCGUAUAAGAUUGGGCGUAAGUAUUGUGUGCGCUUGAGAGUGGAGCGCUAAUCCAAAGAACGUCUCAGUGGGGCGUUAAUAUAAACUACACCAAACCAAACGUUCACAAAAUGUAUGCAUGAUAUCAGACGUUGAUAUUAUUGCCGCCUCAUGUUUUUUUUCCAUCAAACUCACUUAAUACUCUCGUCUCUCCCUUGGAAUUAACACUAGGUUGGUGAUUUUGUGAGCGCCCCACGUCUGGCGAUAAUAAUACUUACGCCCCACAUGAAGCGUGGAUAAUACUUACGCCCCACUCAUGCGUUCACAGUAACGACGCCUGACCUCCAUACGUUCAUUAUAA
Papaver somniferum (opium poppy) is the source of this 1220-nucleotide long non-coding RNA. RefSeq lists it as uncharacterized. The record is from RefSeq and is a predicted model, not a curated record. Lineage: Eukaryota; Viridiplantae; Streptophyta; Magnoliopsida; Ranunculales; Papaveraceae. The transcript has 6 exons.